RNAcentral lists this ribosomal RNA (761 nucleotides) under Chryseobacterium sp. CUL-LABH1L1. Its description in RNAcentral is "bacterial SSU rRNA". It matches the Rfam family "Bacterial small subunit ribosomal RNA", at positions 12 to 772 of the family's 1533-position model. The record is from RNAcentral. Lineage: Bacteria; Pseudomonadati; Bacteroidota; Flavobacteriia; Flavobacteriales; Weeksellaceae.
UUUGAUCCUGGCUCAGGAUGAACGCUAGCGCGAGGCCUAACACAUGCAAGCCGAGCGGUAGAGAUUCUUCUGGAUCUAGAGAGCGGCGUACGGGUAAGGAACACGUGUGCAACCUGCCUUUAUGGAGGGAUUGCCUUUCGAAAGGAAGAUUAAUACCCCUUAAUAUAAGAGAAGGCAUCGUUUUUUAUUGAAAACUCCGGUGGAUAGAGAUGGGCACGCGCAAGAUUAGAUAGUUGGUGAGGUAUCGGCUCACCAAGUCUGCGAUCUUUAUGGGGCCUGAGAGGGUGAUCCCCCACACUGGUACUGAGACCCGGACCAGACUCCUACGGGACGCAGCAGUGAGGAAUAUUGGACAAUGGGUCAGAGCCUGAUCCAGCCAUCCCGCGUGAAGGACNACGGCCCUAUGGGUUNUAAACUUCUUUUGUAUAGGGAUAAACCUACCCUCGUGAGGGUAGCUGAAGGUACUAUCGAAUAAGCACCGGCUAACUCCGUGCCAGCAGCCGCGGUAAUACGGAGGGUGCAAGCGUUAUCCGGAUUUAUUGGGUUUAAAGGGUCCGUAGGCGGAUGUGUAAGUCAGUGGUGAAAUCUCCCAGCUUAACUGUGAAACUGCCAUUGAUACUGCAUGUCUUGAGUGUUGUUGAAGUAUGCUGGAAUAACUAUGUGUAGCGGUGAAAUGCAUAGAUAUUACUUAGAACACCAAUUGCGAAGGCAGGCUACCUAAGCAACAACUGACGCUGAUGUACGAAAGGCGUGGGAGCAAC